This 1196-nucleotide long non-coding RNA is filed under the name Equus caballus (horse). Its description in RNAcentral is "lncRNA (ENSECAG00000045881.1)". Lineage: Eukaryota; Metazoa; Chordata; Mammalia; Perissodactyla; Equidae. The record is from RNAcentral.
CUCACCUGUGUUUCAUGUGUGGCUCCCCUGUGGUUCAUGUGUGGUUCAAGCAUCGAACAUGUGUGUUUCAGAUGUGGUUCAAGGGUGUCUCGCAUGUGGUUCAUGCACGGCUCACACAUGGAUUGGGCGUGAUUCAGGCGUGGCUCACACACGACUAGUGUGUGUCCCAGAUGGUAGAGGACACUUUCACACGUGGUUCCAGCCUAGCUCAGCCAUGGCUCACAAGUGAUGCAGGCGUGCCACUGAACUGGCUCACCUGUGGCUGACACAUGAUUCAGGCUUUUGUCACGCAUGGCUCCCACAUGGCUAAGGUGUGGCUCAUGCAUGGCUGAGGUGUUGGUGAGGUGUGGCUCACAUGUGUUUGUCUCAUGGUGGGCAUGUGGGACAGGCAUGGUCGGCACGUUGUGCCAGUGUGGCAACACAUGCUUCAAGUGAGGCUGACCUGUGGUUCAAGUGUGACUGGCACUUGUUUCAGGCCUGGAUGGCAUGUGACUUUGGCACAGCUGAGAAGUGACUCAGGCGUGGCUCACACGUUAUUCAGGCGAGGCUGACACUACACAGUUGAGGUGGCCGAAGGACACUAUAGUGCCUGACACGUCACGCAGGUGUGGUUCACACAUGGUUCAUGCAUGGCCUUCGUGUGGUUCAGGGGUGGCUGGUGCAUGGUGCACACAUGGGUGGCAGGUGGUUCAGGCGUGGCUGAAAUGUGACUCCAGCAUGUGUGAAACAGGACUCCGGUGUGGCUGACACAUGUGUCAGGCAUGGCUGACACGUGACUCAGGCAUUCAUCGCGCAGUAUAAAUGUGUGACAGAAAUGUGAUCACGGAGGAGUCACAUUCUGUAUAUGGGUGGCUCCCACGUGACUACAGGUUGCUGAAACGUGGCUCCCACAUACGCAGUCACGGCUGCCACAUGGCUCAUGCAUGGCUCAGCUGUGUUUCAUGUGUGGCUCCCCUGAUGUUCAUGCAUGGUUCAAGCAUGGAACAUGUGUGUUUCACAGGUUCUUCACAUGUGGUUCAAGGGUGUCUCCCAUGUGCUUCCUGCAUGCCUCACACAUGGUUCGGGUGUAAUAAGGCAUGGAUCUCACAUGACUCGUCUGGGUCACAUAUGGUUGAGGACACUCUCACAUGUGGUUCAGGCAUAGCUCAGCCCUGGCUCACACGUGAUGCAGGCAUGCCACAGAACUGGCUCACAUG